GAGUUUGAUCCUGGCUCAGGAUGAACGCUGGCGGUAUGCUUAACACAUGCAAGUCGAACGAGAGCUUUUAGCUCUAGUGGCGAACGGGUGCGUAAUACGUGAGAAUCUGCCCUUAGGAGGGGAAUAACUACUGGAAACGGUAGCUAAGUCCGCAUAUGCCGAGAGGUGAAAUAGUUUUUAACUGCCUAAGGAUGAGCUCACGCCUGAUUAGCUUGUUGGUGAGGUAAUGGCUCACCAAGGCCACGAUCAGUAGCUGGUUUGAGUGAACGAUCAGCCACACUGGGACUGAGACACGGCCCAGACUCCUCCGGGAGGCAGCAGUGAGGAAUUUUCCGCAAUGGGCGAAAGCCUGACGGAGCAAUACCGCGUGGGGGAUGAAGGAUUUUGGUCUGUAAACUCCUUUUCUUAAGAAAGAACUCUGGCGGUACUUAAGGAAUAAGCAUCGGCUAACUCCGUGCCAGCAGCCGCGGUAAUACGGGGGAUGCAAGCGUUAUCCGGAAUGAUUGGGCAUAAAGCGCCUGUAGGUUGUUUAUCAAGUCCGUUGUUAAAGACCAGGGCUUAACCCUGGGAGUGCAAUGGAAACUGUUAGACUUGAGUAUGGUAGGGGUAGAGGGAAUUUCUAGUGUAGCGGUGAAAUGCGUAGAUAUUAGAAAGAACACCAGUGGCGAAAGCGCUCUACUGGGCCAUUACUGACACUGAGAGGCGAAAGCUAGGGGAGCGAAAGGGAUUAGAUACCCCUGUAGUCCUAGCCGUAAACGAUGGAUACUAGGUGUUGCAUAUAUUUGCAGUAUCGUAGCUAACGCGUUAAGUAUCCCGCCUGGGGAGUACGCUCGCAAGGGUGAAACUCAAAGGAAUUGACGGGGGCCCGCACAAGCGGUGGAGCAUGUGGUUUAAUUCGAUGCAACGCGAGAACCUUACCAGGCUUGACAUACUACAAAUCUUUGGAGACA
Molecule: ribosomal RNA, 950 nt
Filed under: uncultured bacterium
Lineage: Bacteria
Description: bacterial SSU rRNA
Rfam family: Bacterial small subunit ribosomal RNA
Source: RNAcentral